Tulasnella sp. 427 is the source of this 104-nucleotide non-coding RNA. The record is from the annotation of a GenBank genome assembly. NCBI's taxonomy places the organism in Eukaryota, Fungi, Basidiomycota, Agaricomycetes, Cantharellales, Tulasnellaceae.
GCCGUCAUAGCUCAGUUGGGAGAGCGACAGACUGAAGAUUACGCAAUCAAAAAGAUUACAUAAUCGGUUUCUGCAGGUCACCCGUUCGAUCCGGGUUGACGGCA